GUUUCUCGAUGUUUUCUGAU
RNAcentral lists this microRNA (20 nucleotides) under Caenorhabditis elegans. RNAcentral describes it as "microRNA mir-262,b". Lineage: Eukaryota; Metazoa; Nematoda; Chromadorea; Rhabditida; Rhabditidae. The record is from RNAcentral.